UACGGAGGAUGCGAGCGUUAUCCGGAUUUAUUGGGUUUAAAGGGUGCGUAGGCCGGGUUUUAAGCGUGCCGUGAAAUGUCGGGGCUCAACCCCGUUGUGCCGUUGAAACUGGCGUUCUUGAGUGGGCGAGAAGUAUGCGGAAUGCGUGGUGUAGCGGUGAAAUGCAUAGAUAUCACGAAGAACUCCGAUUGCGAAGGCAGCGUACCGGCUCCAUACUGACGCUGAGGCACGAAAGCGUGGGGAUCGAACAGG
This 252-nucleotide ribosomal RNA is filed under the name uncultured bacterium. RNAcentral describes it as "partial 16S ribosomal RNA". It matches the Rfam family "Bacterial small subunit ribosomal RNA", at positions 524 to 776 of the family's 1533-position model. The record is from RNAcentral.